AACGAACGCUGGCGGCAUGCCUAACACAUGCAAGUCGAACGAGACCUUCGGGUCUAGUGGCGCACGGGUGCGUAACGCGUGGGAACCUGCCCUUAGGUUCGGAAUAACUCCCCGAAAGGGGUGCUAAUACCGGAUAAUGUCUUCGGACCAAAGAUUUAUCGCCUUUGGAUGUGCCCGCGUUGGAUUAGCUAGUUGGUAGGGUAAAAGCCUACCAAGGCGACGAUCCAUAGAUGGUCUGAGAGGAUGAUCAGCCACACUGGGACUGAGACACGGCCCAGACUCCUACGGGAGGCAGCAGUGGGGAAUAUUGGAAAAUGGGCGAAAGCCUGAUCCAGCAAGGCCGCGUGAGUGAUGAAGGCCUUAGGGUUGUAAAGCUCUUUUACCCGGGAUGAUAAUGACAGUACCGGGAGAAUAAGCUCCGGCUAACUCCGUG
This 433-nucleotide ribosomal RNA is filed under the name uncultured bacterium. RNAcentral's name for it is "partial 16S ribosomal RNA". It matches the Rfam family "Bacterial small subunit ribosomal RNA", at positions 29 to 507 of the family's 1533-position model. The record is from RNAcentral.